RNAcentral lists this ribosomal RNA (745 nucleotides) under uncultured bacterium. RNAcentral's name for it is "bacterial SSU rRNA". It matches the Rfam family "Bacterial small subunit ribosomal RNA", at positions 59 to 818 of the family's 1533-position model. The record is from RNAcentral.
CAGUCGAACGAGAGAAGAGAAGCUUGCUUUUCUGAUCUAGUGGCGGACGGCUGUGUAACACGUGAGCAAUCUGCCUUUCAGAGGGGGAUACCGAUUGGAAACGAUCGUUAAUACCGCAUAACAUAAUUGAACCGCAUGAUUUGAUUAUCAAAGAUUUAUCGCUGAAAGAUGAGCUCGCGUCUGAUUAGCUAGUUGGUAAGGUAACGGCUUACCAAGGCGACGAUCAGUAGCCGGACUGAGAGGUUGAUCGGCCACAUUGGGACUGAGACACGGCCCAGACUCCUACGGGAGGCAGCAGUGGGGAAUAUUGCACAAUGGAGGAAACUCUGAUGCAGCGAUGCCGCGUGAGGGAAGAAGGUUUUAGGAUUGUAAACCUCUGUCUUCAGGGACGAAAAAAGACGGUACCUGAGGAGGAAGCUCCGGCUAACUACGUGCCAGCAGCCGCGGUAAUACGUAGGGAGCGAGCGUUGUCCGGAAUUACUGGGUGUAAAGGGAGCGUAGGCGGGAUCGCAAGUCAGAUGUGAAAACUAUGGGCUUAACCCAUAAACUGCAUUUGAAACUGUGGUUCUUGAGUGAAGUAGAGGUAAGCGGAAUUCCUAGUGUAGCGGUGAAAUGCGUGGAUAUUAGGAGGAACAUCAGUGGCGAAGGCGGCUUACUGGGCUUUAACUGACGCUGAGGCUCGAAAGCGUGGGGAGCAAACAGGAUUAGAUACCCUGGUAGUCCACGCCGUAAACGAUGAUUACUA